Molecule: small RNA, 78 nt
Filed under: Arabidopsis thaliana (thale cress)
Lineage: Eukaryota; Viridiplantae; Streptophyta; Magnoliopsida; Brassicales; Brassicaceae
Description: ATSL107860
Source: RNAcentral
AUAAUAAUAUUAUAAACCCGUCCUACCAUCUAAUCCCGUUCGGUGAAAUUAAACAUUUUUUUUUAAUAAUACUUUUAU